This 387-nucleotide ribosomal RNA is filed under the name Salmonella enterica subsp. enterica serovar Paratyphi B var. L(+) tartrate +. RNAcentral describes it as "bacterial SSU rRNA". It matches the Rfam family "Bacterial small subunit ribosomal RNA", at positions 1157 to 1533 of the family's 1533-position model. The record is from RNAcentral. Lineage: Bacteria; Pseudomonadati; Pseudomonadota; Gammaproteobacteria; Enterobacterales; Enterobacteriaceae.
GAUAAACUGGAGGAAGGUGGGGAUGACGUCAAGUCAUCAUGGCCCUUACGACCAGGGCUACACACGUGCUACAAUGGCGCAUACAAAGAGAAGCGACCUCGCGAGAGCAAGCGGACCUCAUAAAGUGCGUCGUAGUCCGGAUUGGAGUCUGCAACUCGACUCCAUGAAGUCGGAAUCGCUAGUAAUCGUGGAUCAGAAUGCCACGGUGAAUACGUUCCCGGGCCUUGUACACACCGCCCGUCACACCAUGGGAGUGGGUUGCAAAAGAAGUAGGUAGCUUAACCUUCGGGAGGGCGCUUACCACUUUGUGAUUCAUGACUGGGGUGAAGUCGUAACAAGGUAACCGUAGGGGAACCUGCGGUUGGAUCACCUCCUUACCUUAAAGAA